CUUUAAUCAUUGAUUUUUCUUAAGAAAUUUCUUCUUAAUAUUUGAUUUGUUUAAUUAAUUUUAGGAGGAGCAAGAAAGAGCCCUAAUUCCUAAGCCGUGGAGCAUCUUCACAAAAGGGAUUGACUCUCAAAGAAAUUAGAGAGAUGGAUUAUCUUGCAAAGAUAAUUCAAGAGACAUUGAGGAAAGCUAACCUUCUGCUUAUGUAUAUUCGAGAGGCAAAAAGGGAUGUUGUGAUAAACGAGUUGAAAAGAUUAAUCCAGGAUGUGCAGUGAAGUAUUUGCCUGAGCCGCUUCCUGUUGACAACUUUCUUGCAAAAAUUACGAAGCUCUAAUUAUAAUCAACCUUUUAAGCAAUUAUAUAAAUAAGGGGAAAAAAGCAAGACUACAUGUAUGUGUAUAUAUGUGUGUAUGUGUGUCGAAGUGUACUUAUUUAUUAUAUAAAUAAGUAAUUCUGAAUUGUACUAUUGUUUAUCUCUACAAAAACAUCUUUGAGUUAUAUUGCGAUGUCAAUUGCCUUUGUCCGGCAGAGA
Tripterygium wilfordii is the source of this 529-nucleotide long non-coding RNA. RefSeq lists it as uncharacterized. NCBI's taxonomy places the organism in Eukaryota, Viridiplantae, Streptophyta, Magnoliopsida, Celastrales, Celastraceae. The transcript has 3 exons. The record is from RefSeq and is a predicted model, not a curated record.